RNAcentral lists this long non-coding RNA (244 nucleotides) under Physcomitrium patens. RNAcentral describes it as "long non-coding RNA (PPAT_LNC004784)". Lineage: Eukaryota; Viridiplantae; Streptophyta; Bryopsida; Funariales; Funariaceae. The record is from RNAcentral.
AAUUCUUCAUCACAGACGUAACUCGAUUUCAUAAAACAGUUAAGAGUAAUCACACCCACUUCAUUAAAAUUCUGAUUCACGAGUAUAAUACUGACUUCAGCAGCGAUUGCCUCAGACUUCCCAAAACCCUAUGAAGAAAAAAAAUUCCAAUUCUCUGUCUUUUUUCUCCACCCCGAAGCAUGAAGCUCGCUCUCCGAGCCUUCUAAAAAAACUUCGUCUCUCUCCCCUUCCAUUUCUUAACCUA